GGAGGAAGGAAGGAAGGAAGGAAGGAAGGAAGGAAGGAAGAAUUAAGCAAUGCUUUAUAAAAUAUAUAUGUAAUUUUUAAGCAUUAACUGUGUGCCAAGCACUGCACUGGACACAGGAGAUGCAAAGAUGACCGAGACCAGUCUCUUUCUUUAGAAGUUUCUAAAAGAGGAGGGGCUACAACCCAUUGUGACACAGGAGGGGGUGUUAGUUAAAUAGGGGUGAAGACUGUGCUGGGGGAAGGGAGGAAGGUCAGAGGCUCCUGGCGUCCUGGGAGGGGGGUACUUGGAGGAAGCGGGAGAGGGUUUGGAGGGCAACGUUCUGUUUGGGAUGCUCUGCCUGUUCCCCUGCCCAGCUGGGCUCAUGGGGCCGGCUCCUACGUUAGGUCUCAGCUCAGCUCCGAUGUCACCUGCUCUAGGGUGUGUGACCUCCACUGUCUUCUGUGGCGGCCAGCGCUGACCCUGCUUGUGGCCUUCACCACGCUCACCUUAAGUUUCUCCUCUGUUCCACCCUUCAGACCGAGUCCUCCAGAGGAGAGCCUAGAUCUCAGUCACCUUUCCAGUCCGGGACGCGGUGGCGCAGGCCCUCUGCCAGGUGCUGCUCAGUAAGUACUAAUGGGGCGACUAGAUCAGCGGGGCAAAGGGGGACCCGGGCACAGCCCAGCGUUGCUGACGGGAGGUGCAGGUGCGCCAGACCCAAAGCUUGAGCCCGCCCCCCUCGCCUCCUCUGCUCGGUGCGGCCUCUCCCGGGUCCUGAGUUCUCACCUCUCCAUCCUGCCGGUCAGCACGGUGGCUCUCGCCUGUCCUAAGAAAACUUUCCCUUCAACCAUCAGCCUAUCUUUUCCUCCCUUUCAGUAUUAAACUUCAAAAAAUAAUGGUUUCUAUUUGCGGCCCACACUUUCUCAGCUUCCACUCACUCUCCAAUCUCCCGGAUAUGUCUGCUGUCCCCACCACUGACUCUUUGAGGCACCACCCCACCCACCGUCUCCCAGUCCUCCUCAGGCCCAGCUUAAGACAUCCCCUCUUUAGGUAAACACUCUCUGACCUCCAAAGCAGGCUUAGGUGUCCCGUCUUGGUGCCUUCCAGGAGACGCUGGGCUCUCUUGGCCUCCAAGAUUCUCCCUCUAGCUCUCUAACCAGUUUUUGUCUCCUCUGUCUUUGGACUGUGGUCCCUCGACUCACGCCCCACGCGGGACCUCAUUCUCUCCAAGGCUUUCUUCACCACCCAAAAUGCUGAGGACCCCCAACCUUUAUUUCUGACCCCAAAUUCUCCCCUGACCUCUGGAUCCCUGUCUCCCAUUUCCUACAGGGUUUCUCCUUCUGAAUAUCCUCAUAACCUUUCCAUCUCAGAAUAUAUGACUUGAGGGGUGCCUGGGUGGCUCAGUCAGUUAAUCGUCCAACUUCGGCUCAGGUCAUGAUCUCGUGGUUCGUGGGUUGGAGCCCCGCAUGGGGCUCUGUGCUGACAGCUCGGAGCCUGGAGCCUGCUUCGGAUUCUGUGUCUCCCUCUCUCUCUGCCCCUCCCCUGCUCUCUCUCCCUCUCUCUCUCUCUCUUUCAAAUACAACUAAGCAUUAAAGUAUACACAUGUACAUGUAUAUAUAUAUAUGUACAUAUAUAUGCAUAUGUACAUAUAUAUGCACAUAUAUAUAUAUACCUUGAACUCAUUGCCUAUACCUGCCACCUGAACCAAAUCCUCCUUCCUUUUCCAACUGAAAGCGCCACCCGGACCGCUCAGGCACCCUAACCAUUCCUUCUUCCUCACCCUCCAUACGCAUUCCAUGCAUGGUCUGUUGUACCUCCUCUCUAGAAUAUCUCACAUCCAUCCCCUCCCCAGGGCUCUCAGUGUCUCUUGCCAGGACUACGGCAAGCCUUCCGCUUUCUCUCCCGGCUUCCAGGCAUGUCAGCCCACGUCCACACUGCCACGAGGGAACCUUCUGGAACACACACUUGACUGCGACACUCAUCUGUUUCAGAGUGUCCAACAAUUGAUUUCCCUGCUGCUUCCAAGGUAAAGUCCAAACUCGAACCUGACAGACCUGUGAUGGGCAAGGUUUAAAGGCCACGUCACCCUUCCGGUGAUCAUCACUAAUCACUGUUUUGAUCAGUGACCCUUUCCAUUCCGAUCCCUUUUCAGCCUAAUCCAGCCUCACGAACUACAGGCCCUCGAACACGUCCAACACCACCAGGACUCCAGUCUUUUGUCAAUACUGCUCUCUCAGCCUGGACCGUCCCCUCCACUCCACACAGUUCCCUGAAAGCGAACAGUGUGGCUGUCAUCUUCGCACAACCCGUGUGUCCCAGCCUUGUGCCUGGCACAUAAUAGGGACUUAGUAACUUUUGAAUAAAGAGCUCCCAGGUUUUUAAAAAAAAAUUUUUUUUUUAAUAUUUACUUAUUUUGAAAACGAGAGAGUGAGAUGAUCCCAAGCAGGCUCCUCACUGUCAGCGCAGAGCCCAACGCAGGGCUCGAACUCACGAACCGGGAGGUCAUAACCUGAGUCAAGAUCAAGAGAUUAACCAGCUGAGCCGCCCAGGCGCCCCAGAACUCCCAGUUCUUAGUGUCACUUCUUCACUGCUUCUCCCGGCUCCAGUGAGAUGUGAUUGUUGCUUCCGGGCUUCAUUCAUUUAACAGAUUUCGUGAGUUCCUGCUAUGUUUCAGGCACUGUGCUAAUGGGGGGGGGUGCGGAGAUACGAGAAAGUUCAGUCUAGGUUAAUAGACUGUCAAGUAAAUAAUUAUAACACCGAGGGUAGGUACCGUGAUGAGUCCUCUGUCACACACCUUUGCCGUAGAGAAACUAAUACGAAAAGCCAAACCAUGGACAUGCUCGUUGGGGAGCAUGGUGUCUGGGCAGCGGGAAGGCGUUGGAUGAAUCAAACGUUCUGUGACAUCUUGGUCCAUUCAGGCUAUUCUAACAAGGUACCACAACCUGCGUAGCUUCCAAACCACAGAAAUGUAUUUCUCACAGUUUUGAAGGCUGGGAAGCCGAAGAGGAAGGCAUCAAUGUGGUGGAAUUCUGGUGACAACCUGCUUCUUGGUUCACAGCUGUCAGCCUCUCUCUCUGUGCCCUCACGUGGUGGAAGGGCUGAGGAAACUCUGUGGGGUCUCUUAUACAAGGGCACUAAUCUCAUUCAGGAAGGUGCCACACUCAUGACCUAAGCACCUUCCAAAAGCUCUACUUCCCAACACCGUCAUCUUGGGGCACCCGUGUGGCUCAGUCAGUUAAGCAUCCGACUUCUGCUUAGGUCAUGAUCUUGCCGUUCAUGAGUUCGAGCCCUGCGCCGAGCUCUGUGCUGACAGUUCAGAGCCUGGAGCGGGCCUCAGAUUCUGUGUCUCCCUCUGUCUCUUCCCCUCCCCUGCUCAUGCUUGGU
RNAcentral lists this long non-coding RNA (3360 nucleotides) under Lynx pardinus (Iberian lynx). Lineage: Eukaryota; Metazoa; Chordata; Mammalia; Carnivora; Felidae. The record is from RNAcentral.